This 92-nucleotide transfer RNA is filed under the name Salmo salar (Atlantic salmon). It matches the Rfam family "tRNA". Rfam says of the family: Transfer RNA (tRNA) molecules are approximately 80 nucleotides in length. Their secondary structure includes four short double-helical elements and three loops (D, anti-codon, and T loops). Lineage: Eukaryota; Metazoa; Chordata; Actinopteri; Salmoniformes; Salmonidae. The record is from Rfam by way of RNAcentral.
CCCCCUGUGGCUCAGUUGGUAGAGCAUGGUGUUUGCAACGCCAGCAUGGUGUGUGCAACACCAGGGUUGUGGGUUUGAUUCCCACGGGGGGC